Molecule: ribosomal RNA, 550 nt
Filed under: marine bacterium A2
Lineage: Bacteria
Description: bacterial SSU rRNA
Rfam family: Bacterial small subunit ribosomal RNA
Source: RNAcentral
GCCUACACAUGCAAGUCGAGCGGAACGACACUAACAAUCCUUCGGGUGCGUUAAUGGGCGUCGAGCGGCGGACGGGUGAGUAAUGCCUAGGAAAUUGCCUUGAUGUGGGGGAUAACCAUUGGAAACGAUGGCUAAUACCGCAUAAUGCCUACGGGCCAAAGAGGGGGACCUUCGGGCCUCUCGCGUCAAGAUAUGCCUAGGUGGGAUUAGCUAGUUGGUGAGGUAAUGGCUCACCAAGGCGACGAUCCCUAGCUGGUCUGAGAGGAUGAUCAGCCACACUGGAACUGAGACACGGUCCAGACUCCUACGGGAGGCAGCAGUGGGGAAUAUUGCACAAUGGGCGAAAGCCUGAUGCAGCCAUGCCGCGUGUAUGAAGAAGGCCUUCGGGUUGUAAAGUACUUUCAGUUGUGAGGAAGGGUGUGUAGUUAAUAGCUGCACAUCUUGACGUUAGCAACAGAAGAAGCACCGGCUAACUCCGUGCCAGCAGCCGCGGUAAUACGGAGGGUGCGAGCGUUAAUCGGAAUUACUGGGCGUAAAGCGCAUGCAGGUG